Cyprinus carpio (common carp) is the source of this 820-nucleotide long non-coding RNA. The record is from Ensembl. NCBI's taxonomy places the organism in Eukaryota, Metazoa, Chordata, Actinopteri, Cypriniformes, Cyprinidae.
AUGAAACUGCUAGGUCUUCUUAUGACACUGUUUGCUCUUAGCUAUGCAAACUUGGACAAACAAGUUGUGUGUACAACCUUACGUGAACUUCUGAACAGGCUUGAAAAUCUUGAGAAGCAUGAGUUCAAGGCUUUCAGCAAAUCAGUACAAAUCCAAACACCGAAUGCAGAAAUACAGAAUGCACGUGAGUGUGACGCCUUACUUGCAAAACACCUGAAGCAUUUUAUAAAGUCAGUUAAAAGUGCAGUACCCAGAAACCAGUAUGCCAACAUUUUAGACAACGUGAAUAAGAUACUGCAGGAAACUGAAGUCAAGAAUGGGUCAAUCGUCACCUGCACCUUCACAACGCAUAACCUCACAAAAGUUACACCAGACGAUAUCAAGCCUUUGAUUCAGGAUAACAUUAAGUUCAUCCAAAAAAGGAAUGUGAUCUGCAAAUAGAAGAAUCUUGCAAGUCACAAAAGUAAACUAAACGGAUAUACUGCUAUGGAGAUGUGGAUUACAUAUUUAUUCAUUUGAAAUGUCUAUUUUUUUUUAACUUAAUAUUUAUAUAUCUAUUUAUUUGUUGGCCUAUUUAUUUAUUUAUUUAUUUUGACCAGUGUGUGUUGGUUGUUCUCUAUCCUCGAACUUGUUUGUAAAAUGAAAUGUAUCUAAUUCAAAAAAGUGAAUGUUAUUAUCUUCAUCACAGGAAGAAAAAUGAUCAACACUAUACUUUAUUUUUUAAAGUUUGUUCUUGUAUUGUAGCAAUACAAUCAUCUUUUAAGAUCCACAGAUUUUAUGAUGAACUGAAUUCUGAAUAAAAAGAAUAUAUUUAAGAUCA